UGUGAUUUCAUUUAAAAAAAUAAUAUUGACACCCUUAUAAGGUAUAAAAGAUGAAUUUAAAAAGUAAUUAAAAACUGGCAAAUGAAAUAAUAUACAACAUUUAAGAAACAAUAAAAAUGAUGUUCUUUACAUAAUUAUUGUUUUAUGGGAAAUAGAGUCGUUAGCCUUAAAAUAAUAAAUUUAUAUACGCCUAAUUCAGCUGUCACGAAAACUAAUGAGGUGUUUUGCGUCUUUUCAGUCAUCCAUUGAAUGACCUAGGGUAGAUGGGAGCUCAAUUUCAGUUCUUUGCAUAAUAGAUUAUUCUAGUGUCUUACACUCCGACUGCCCGAACUGUUGCAGAGAUCACACUGGCUAGUUGACAAGUGGAGAGGCACUUUGGAGAACUCUUAUGUUUAAUAAAAACUUUGAUUGUGAUAUUAUAAUGCUAGUACUCUGUCUAGUCAGGUUAUGGCCCUUCAAUAGUUUUGAAUUCUCUGAAAGACAAGAUAUAUUUAGAAAAAAAAUAUAUUGAUGGAAAAAAAUGUAAUUUCAAAAUAAAAAUACCAAAAAUAUUUAAAAAUGUGUUUAUUUAAUUUAAAAACGAAACCACAGUAUUUUGUAAAUUAUUU
Daktulosphaira vitifoliae (grape phylloxera) is the source of this 608-nucleotide long non-coding RNA. RefSeq lists it as uncharacterized. NCBI's taxonomy places the organism in Eukaryota, Metazoa, Arthropoda, Insecta, Hemiptera, Phylloxeridae. The transcript is spliced from 3 exons. The record is from RefSeq and is a predicted model, not a curated record.